AUUGAACGCUGGCGGCAUGCUUUACACAUGCAAGUCGAACGGCAGCGCGGGCUUCGGCCUGGCGGCGAGUGGCGAACGGGUGAGUAAUGCAUCGGAACGUGCCCAGUAGUGGGGGAUAGCCCGGCGAAAGCCGGAUUAAUACCGCAUACGACCUGAGGGUGAAAGCGGGGGACCGAAAGGCCUCGCGCUAUUGGAGCGGCCGAUGUCGGAUUAGCUAGUUGGUGGGGUAAAGGCUUACCAAGGCGACGAUCCGUAGCUGGUCUGAGAGGACGACCAGCCACACUGGGACUGAGACACGGCCCAGACUCCUACGGGAGGCAGCAGUGGGGAAUUUUGGACAAUGGGGGCAACCCUGAUCCAGCCAUGCCGCGUGCGGGAAGAAGGCCUUCGGGUUGUAAACCGCUUUUGUUCGGGAAGAAAUCCUCUGGGCUAAUACCCCGGGGGGAUGACGGUACCGGACGAAUAAGCACCGGCUAACUACGUG
RNAcentral lists this ribosomal RNA (484 nucleotides) under uncultured bacterium. Its description in RNAcentral is "partial 16S ribosomal RNA". It matches the Rfam family "Bacterial small subunit ribosomal RNA", at positions 28 to 507 of the family's 1533-position model. The record is from RNAcentral.